This is a long non-coding RNA of Gorilla gorilla gorilla (western lowland gorilla), 1315 nucleotides long. RefSeq lists it as uncharacterized. Lineage: Eukaryota; Metazoa; Chordata; Mammalia; Primates; Hominidae. The transcript is spliced from 3 exons. The record is from RefSeq and is a predicted model, not a curated record.
AGGACCAUGGGAAAAAAAAUCACUUUUCAACCAUGUGUAGGUGAAAUCCAUAUAUAUGGGGUUUCGUUUUUGUUUCAUGUUUUGUUUUGUUUCACUUUUUGCUAUCAGUACACAACCACUUUGAAUAUAGCCUUGCACAAAGAGUAGGGCAUCCAUUCAACUGUUUCUUAAAUGUGUACAGAGGCUCACUCUUAGUUCUUAUGAUUUCUACUUUUUAUAUAAUUUCAUGUAAUUUCUGCACUCUACUACUUGCUACUCAUUCAUAGACUGGUACUAUCCAGGGUCAUAAUUUAAAAUAGAACUGAGUUAGAUAUUAUGAAUUCAGAUUUGCAGUUCAGCCAUUAGAAGAAAAUUAACCCUAAUAUACAUGUUGUUUAAGAGCUUGAACUUCAUCAGUGAGACUGAGUGAAGCAUUGUGAGAAUUUUUAAAGUUCUAAAUUUCAGAUAAAUCAGUCAUUUGUAUUUCAUUUGUUGGAGUUAUAGACACACACCAUAUAGAGAUCACUUUUGCUUCUCUUGAGUUCAGUAGGUUCAUGACUAUUGAAAAGCAAUCCACAUGGUAAAGAAAGAGGUGGUGAAGAGUGGAGAUCAAAACAUGAUCAAGCCAUGGAAAACACAGCUUCACUCAAAGUGUUGUGACCUCAAAUAAGAGGCACAGGUGCCUCCUUGGGCAGCUUGGGGCAAGUGAUCUACUUUCACUUUCCAGUGAAACAUCUCAAAUCACUGCUGCCCUGCAUUCCACUUGCGUAAUAUCAGAGAAGCCUUUCCUGCGUCUGAUCUUGAAAGCAUUCUAGCUGUCGCCUUGGGCAGAUCAAAAAUUUGUGCAAGCAUACAACAAAUGCUUGUUGACCACUGAUGCUGUCACCAUUUGUAGAAAAUAACCUGAAGCACGUGAAAAGAAUCAUCCAAUAAUUGACAAUUGGAUAGCUGAAUUUGGCUCACUAGUCAGGAAAGCAUACCAUGGUUAUCAUAUCAGAUCCAAAGCAGCUGAUCCGCAAUGGAGACAAAACUUUUAUGCAGGAACACUUGACGUUCCAGUCCAGAUGAAAAUAGGAAGUCAAUCAAAGCAGCAGAGUCCAGAGAGGACACCAAGCCAAACUGACCCUUUUCUAAGGACCUUUUCCCAUCCUUUCCACCUCCUCCAAUGUGAAGCCCAGUAAAGGGACCAGCCGGGGGAGCCUUGAAGAGGGCUGCAAAUCCAGCUGCUUCUGUCUCAAAUAGUUGUUUUUUAGGGGAUGGGUUUUAAUUGAUAGGUUUAAAAAAAUAAAGGAUUGUUAACAAACUGUACAAUCAAUAAACUUCAUUGUAAAACAUG